Unclassified non-coding RNA from Cercocebus atys (sooty mangabey), 102 nucleotides. It matches the Rfam family "Y RNA". From Rfam's summary of the family: Y RNAs are components of the Ro ribonucleoprotein particle (Ro RNP), in association with Ro60 and La proteins. The Y RNAs and Ro60 and La proteins are well conserved, but the function of the Ro RNP is not known. NCBI's taxonomy places the organism in Eukaryota, Metazoa, Chordata, Mammalia, Primates, Cercopithecidae. The record is from Ensembl.
GGCUGGUCCAAGGGCAGUGGUGUUUACAACUAACUGAUCACAGCCAGUUACAGAUUUCUUUGUUCCUUUUCCACUCCCACUGCUUCAUUUGAACAAACAAAC